AUAUUUCUUUCAUCGUUUACAUUGUUUGAAAGUUUGAUAAAAAGGAAUUGUCCAUAUUUCUUUGAUCGUUUACAUUCGUUGGUUAGCAUUGCUUAGCCUAAGUUUAUGGUUAGGAAUUGUCCAUAUUUCUUUGAUCUUUUACAUUGGUUAGCUUAAGUUUGUGGUUGUGUCUGGUCUGAAAUGAAUCGUUUGUAAUGGUUUGGUUAGAUUAAUAAAUGGUCACGUUAGCUUAAGUUUAUGGUUGUGUCUGCUCUGAAUACAAAAAUCUCUAUUAAAUGGUUUGGUUAGCUUAAGUUUAUGGUUGUGUCUGCUCUAUUAAAUGUGUGUUAGAUAAAUGUCAACUCCAUUUGGUUGGGUCGAUCUAUUAAACACAACGCUUUUGAUUCUCUCUAUUAAACACAACGCUUUUGUAAUGGUUUCUACAAAGUGUUCAUACUUCUCUUCUUCUCUUCUACUCUUCAAUCCAUCAACGCUUUUGUUUCUCUCUUCUACGCUAUUGUUUCUCUCUUCUACAAAGUGUUCAUACUUCUAUUUUUCUCUUCUACUCUUCCAUCCAUCAACGCUUUUGUUUCUCUCUUCUCUUCCCGUAAUGAAUGUGUUUACCGCUUUGUCUUAAACACAUGAUAGUGUAGUUGGUUGGUGCUCUUAAAUGCGUUGAUCCUGCUCUCUAUAAACUCUUUCUUUCUCCUCUUUCUUCAACAUCAUUCGCUAGAGUGUUUCACAAUCAUCGCCACAAGUUCCUGUCUUAGAUAGUCAUGGUGAAGAGGCGUCUGAAAAAUGUAAAGAAAGAAGGACGUGGACGCCCAGUGAUGAUGUUCAGCUCAUCAGCUCGUGGUUGAACACGAGCAAAGACCCCGUUGUGGGAAAUGAGCAGAGGUCGUCUGCUUUCUGGACAAGUCUCCAAUCGACCCACAGGUGUUAAGGCAGCUAAAGCCCGUGGUAAGAGGACGAUGGUAGAGGGGAAGGACUUGGAUGGCUUUCAGACCAUGUGGAGCAUAAAGAAGGAGGAUUUAGCAAUGAAAGAAAAACUGUAAAAAAUGAGGCUCCUAGAGAAUCUCAUUGCUAAAGAAUAACUUGCUGAGUAUGAGGAAGCGUUGAAGCAAAAACUCAUUUCUGAGUUAUUGUCUAAUUAGUUUAAGUAACAAAUUAGUUUAAGUAGCUUAUGUUUAAGUUGCUCUUGUUGUAAGUGUUCUGUUUUACUUGCUGUCUUUGUUGGAGUUAAUGUGUUUCUUAAUUUAAAUGGAGUUAAUGUAUGUGUUUCUUAAUUUAAAUGGAGUUAAUGUAUGUCUUA
Molecule: long non-coding RNA, 1291 nt
Organism: Brassica napus (rape)
Lineage: Eukaryota; Viridiplantae; Streptophyta; Magnoliopsida; Brassicales; Brassicaceae
Exons: 2
Source: RefSeq, a predicted model, not a curated record